CUGCUGCCUUCCGUAGGAGUUUGGGCCGUGUCUCAGUCCCAAUGUGGCCGGUCACCCUCUCAGGUCGGCUACUGAUCGUCGCCUUGGUGAGCCGUUACCUCACCAACUAGCUAAUCAGACGCGGGUCCAUCUCAUACCACCGGAGUUUUUCACACAAAGAUAUGCAUCCCCGUGCGCUUAUGCGGUAUUAGCAGUCAUUUCUAACUGUUAUCCCCCUGUAUGAGGCAGGUUAUCCACGCGUUACUCACCCG
Molecule: ribosomal RNA, 251 nt
Filed under: uncultured bacterium
Lineage: Bacteria
Description: partial 16S ribosomal RNA
Source: RNAcentral